This 936-nucleotide unclassified non-coding RNA is filed under the name Hevea brasiliensis (rubber tree). Lineage: Eukaryota; Viridiplantae; Streptophyta; Magnoliopsida; Malpighiales; Euphorbiaceae. The record is from RNAcentral.
AAAAUCUAGAAAUGUAAAGAAGUUUUCUACUGGUACAGCUCAAGAAAAAAGAUUUGAAUGUCUCUAUAUUUAUAGAACUAUUGUGUCAAACAUAUCCAUAAAAUCAUCCAAGUCAAUUAAAUUUUGAUUCAAGUUUGCUGGCAGGAGCUUGUUAUGUUUUCUUGCGAGAUGGUGGGGGGGUCUGCUUCCCUCACAUCAUAGUUAGUUUUCUUUGUUUUUCUGGUCAGAUUUCUGCAAAGGUAUGAAAUUUUGGAGUUUCAUAUUAUUAGGUUAAUCAGGCAGUAUCUAAUGUUGGCAGACAUGAUUUCGUAGCAUAGGACCGUACCCUGAUCAAGUAUUUCAUAUUGAAGUGAUUGAUCUUGCACAAUCAAUUUUGAAGUGGCUAAACCUAGUAAUUUAUGGAAGCUACUAAGAGCUAGCAAUAUUCCGACUGGUUGAUUUUCAGAGCUUUCUUUUUGUUUGAACUAAUUGUCUGGGAUGGCUGGGUUGUCUGAUUCUUUUAGAUGAGCCACUUGAGAAUUGAAGAUGUUAUUGAUGUUUACUGUUAAAUCACUGUGGAAGACUAAAGACAUUAUUAUACAAGGAAUUAGUUUUUCUCCCCUUUUUCCUGGUACUUAUAAGCAGUUAAAAAUGCAUUCUGCUUUUCUGAAAACCAUAUUAUCAAUUGUGUUAAAAACACUUUUAAAUGAGAUAACUGUUUGACAUCUGUUUUUAAAAUAUUGUUGAUUUGUGCUGUCUUUUGUUAUACUCAGAGAGUCUCAUUCUUGGUUAAAUACUAAUUGUGUACAUAGAAAAUUUUCAGUGGAAAUGUUAGCUUGGUCUGUUGCUUGACACAAAUUUUUCUUAUCUGAUGCUUUAAACCAUUUGCUCUACCGGCAUAAAUAAGAUACUGAAUCUUUUAUGCUUACAUGCAGAUGCCUACAACAAUUGAGGAAU